Molecule: long non-coding RNA, 261 nt
Filed under: Ananas comosus (pineapple)
Lineage: Eukaryota; Viridiplantae; Streptophyta; Magnoliopsida; Poales; Bromeliaceae
Description: long non-coding RNA (ACOM_LNC034268)
Source: RNAcentral
CAACGCGACGCCCGGCCGCGACUUCGCGAUCGGCGACGAGAGCGGCGGCAACGCGACCCCCGGCCGCGACUCCGCGAUCUCCAGCAACGUUUUUUUCGCCGAAUCAUUCGCGAAUCGCGAAUAAUUCGCGAAUGAUUAUUUUUGACGAAAAAAACGCGAUUUUUUUAGAAUUUUUCUGAAAAACACGGAAACGGCCGUUUAAUACGUAUUUUCAAAAAUGCGCGAAUAAUCCGCGAAUUAUUCGCGAAUUUACUAACUAAG